This 77-nucleotide transfer RNA is filed under the name Oscillospiraceae bacterium. Its description in RNAcentral is "tRNA-Glu". It matches the Rfam family "tRNA". Rfam says of the family: Transfer RNA (tRNA) molecules are approximately 80 nucleotides in length. Their secondary structure includes four short double-helical elements and three loops (D, anti-codon, and T loops). Lineage: Bacteria; Bacillati; Bacillota; Clostridia; Eubacteriales; Oscillospiraceae. The record is from RNAcentral.
GGCCCCUUCGUCUAAUCGGCAAGGACGCCGGCUUCUCAAGCCGGUAAUGCUGAGUUCAAGUCUCACAGGGGUCACCA